GAGACUCUGUGCGCGUGCAUAUCAAUAAGCGGAGGAAAAGAAACUAACAAGGAUUCCCCUUAGUAACGGCGAGUGAAGCGGGAAGAGCUCAAAUUUGAAAUCUUCAAGGGUUCUACCUUUACGAAUUGUAGUUUAUAGAAGUGUUUUCUGUUAGUAGAGUGGCAAAAGUUCUUUGGAAUAGGACAUCAUAGAGGGUGAGAAUCCCGUAUUUGGUCAUUCUUUCUAGCUUUGUGAUACACUUUCAACGAGUCGGAUUGUUUGGGAAUGCAGUCCAAAAUGGGUGGUAAAUUUCAUCUAAAGCUAAAUAUUGGCGAGAGACCGAUAGCGAACAAGUACCGUGAGGGAAAGAUGAAAAGAACUUUGAAAAGAGAGUUAAACAGUACGUGAAAUUGUCAAAAGGGAAGCGUUUGACACCAGUGUUGUUUUUCCGAAAAUCAAUUACGAAUGUUUUGUUUUUAAGAAGUUAUGACUUCAUCGGCUUGCUUCUCUCUUUACUGAAACUUUCUUAAUGCACUUUUCGGUUAACAAGUCAACAUCAAUUUCUUUUGUUGUAAAAGGGUAUGAGGAAGGUGGCUUUCUUUUCGGAGAAAGUGUUUAUAGCCUUGUACCUCUGCAAUCGGAGAGAUUGAGGUCUGCAGCGUAGAUCCUUCGGGGUUAGAUACAUUUGUGCUAAGUUAUAGCUUUUCAUAGACAACUUGUUGACUAUGUUAGUCUUGUAGCUUACUCGCUUAUGCUAUUUUACCUACGCUUAGGAUGUUGACGAUCAGCUGAGCGCG
RNAcentral lists this ribosomal RNA (776 nucleotides) under uncultured Neocallimastigales. RNAcentral's name for it is "partial large subunit ribosomal RNA". It matches the Rfam family "Eukaryotic large subunit ribosomal RNA", at positions 23 to 648 of the family's 3401-position model. The record is from RNAcentral. Lineage: Eukaryota; Fungi; Neocallimastigomycota; Neocallimastigomycetes; Neocallimastigales.